CAAUAGCGUAUAUUAAAGUUGUUGCAGUUAAAAAGCUCGUAGUUGGAUUUCUGGUGGGAGCGAUCGGUCUGGCGCUUAGCGCGAGUACUUGCAUCGUCUCCGGCCAUCCUUGGGGAGAGUCUGUCUGGCAUUAAGUUGUCGGGCAGAGGAUCCUCCUCGUUUACUGUGAAAAAAUUAGAGUGUUCAAAGCAGGCUUAUGCCGUUGAAUAUAUUAGCAUGGAAUAAUAAGAUAGGACUUUGGUACUAUUUUGUUGGUUUGCGCACCAAAGUAAUGAUUAAUAGGGACAGUUGGGGGUAUUCGUAUUCCGUUGUCAGAGGUGAAAUUCUUGGAUUUACGGAAGACGAACUACUGCGAAAGCAUUUACCAAGGAUGUUUUCAUUAA
This 383-nucleotide ribosomal RNA is filed under the name uncultured eukaryote. Its description in RNAcentral is "partial 18S ribosomal RNA". It matches the Rfam family "Eukaryotic small subunit ribosomal RNA", at positions 592 to 976 of the family's 1831-position model. The record is from RNAcentral.